This 19-nucleotide small RNA is filed under the name Arabidopsis thaliana (thale cress). RNAcentral describes it as "ATSL243670". Lineage: Eukaryota; Viridiplantae; Streptophyta; Magnoliopsida; Brassicales; Brassicaceae. The record is from RNAcentral.
UUUUUUUUAUCUUUUUUUU